UUAUGAGUGUCCGUACCAUCCCACCCUGGCCGAACCGUCACCACGGGAGGGGAUGGUUCGCACGAUUCAGAAACUUGUCUUUCAUCACCUACAGCUGAAAACUGGAAAUAGCUACGGGCGUCAUAUUAGCAGCCUAAAGAGCCAGGUGAUGGAGGAACUUUUUGAGAUCAACAAAAUUACACACUACUUUUGAAACUUUUUUUCUAAAAAUAUUUUUCUACAGAGUGUCCGAAUCAUCACCCCUCUCCCCUAUAUGUCGACGCUAAAUGACUAACUGGCACCUCUUUCGCCCCCUGGAUGACUCCGUGCCAAAAACAGCCUACAGUUCCUGCCUGCACAUCACGGCGUCUGCAGAGCGAGGAUGUUCCCUCAGCCGACCUGUCUUGGCGGUCUUCCUCUAGUUUCUGCUCGCUGUACCGCUGCUGAAGGCUGGCUGACAGCUGGACUGUCCCGCCACUGUGUGCAGGCCAGUGGGACAGGCGGCCUGCUGGGGAGCACAUGUGUCCCCUCCUGCCCUGCAGACACAGACACAGCCGCUGGACCUCAGCACCCAGGAGGGAGGACACAGCCGCUGCCUCCCCCGCCAAGCGCCGCACGGCCACGCUCAGCGCCUGGAAGAAGAAGCAACAGUGACGCCCAGAUGAAGGCCGUUCCCACUCCCUCGGCAAGCCUGAGUGUCUCUGAGCAGAGGAACUAAAAACGUCUUGAUAAUUCUCUGGAACAAGUUAUUUCUGUAGAGCAUUCUGUCCCUCAGGUGUACGCUGGACUCCAAUAAACAUCCGGUUGGGGAAA
Eriocheir sinensis (Chinese mitten crab) is the source of this 792-nucleotide long non-coding RNA. RefSeq lists it as uncharacterized. The transcript is spliced from 2 exons. The record is from RefSeq and is a predicted model, not a curated record. NCBI's taxonomy places the organism in Eukaryota, Metazoa, Arthropoda, Malacostraca, Decapoda, Varunidae.